Molecule: unclassified non-coding RNA, 167 nt
Filed under: uncultured fungus
Lineage: Eukaryota; Fungi
Also listed under: 1 other name
Description: sequence contains ITS2
Source: RNAcentral
CAACCCUUAAGCCUAGCUUAGUGUUGGGAGACUGCGCUAAACCGCAGCUCCUCAAAACCAGUGGCGGAGUCCUCUCGUGCUCUGAGCGUAGUAAUUUCUUAUCUCGCUUCUGUAACACGGUGGUCGACGGCCAUAAACCGCACCCUCUCGGGGGGCACUUUUUUAAU